Molecule: small RNA, 87 nt
Filed under: Saccharolobus islandicus HVE10/4
Lineage: Archaea; Thermoproteati; Thermoproteota; Thermoprotei; Sulfolobales; Sulfolobaceae
Also listed under: 1 other name
Description: Sulfolobus islandicus HVE10/4 non-coding RNA
Source: RNAcentral
GCUGGUUUUCCACCAUAGGAGGAAUACAGUAUAUUAGAGGCAUACUGAUAUAAUUUUACUGCUCACUAUUGAAUAACAUAACUGCAU